AGGAAGGUUGCAGCGUCAGACCCCAUUGACAUUUUGAAUAUUAAACUAAAGAGGUUCAAGUCUUAUUUCAAAGGAUGGGGCUCUGACAAAUUUGGCCAUGCCAAAAAACGUAAAGAAGAUCUGAGGAUCGAACUGGAAAUGUUAGAAGAAGCAGAAGAAGACGGCCCUUUGCCCCCUGAGCUUUACGGUAGGAAGGUAGAUGUUUAUGUUGAACUUUAUGAACUGUUAGCCGCGGAGGAGAUUUAUUGGCUACAGCAGUCUCAUGAACGUUGGCUGUUGAGAGGAGAUCGCAAUACUGAUUACUUCCAUAAGAUAGCCAAUGGCCGCAAACGAAAAAACACUAUCCACACGCUCAAGUGCGGAGAGGUUGAGAUAGAGGGCACUGAUAAUCUUCUUGCUCAUGCCACCAGUUUCUAUAAAGAACUGUUUGGCCCGGCACCUGGUAACCUGUUCCAUCUCGAUCCUGAUACUUGGGCAGACAAUGAGAAACUCUCCGCCGAUGAUAAUGCUGACCUUAUUAGAGAGUUCUCUGAAGAGGAAGUUAAGGAGGCCUUGUUUGACAUGGAUGUCAACAGAGCCCCCGGUCCUGAUAAUAUUCCUGCGAAUUUUAUCAGCACUGUUGGGAUGUGGUUACGGUCGAUAUAA
RNAcentral lists this ribosomal RNA (645 nucleotides) under Triticum aestivum (bread wheat). Its description in RNAcentral is "partial small subunit ribosomal RNA". The record is from RNAcentral. Lineage: Eukaryota; Viridiplantae; Streptophyta; Magnoliopsida; Poales; Poaceae.